This 93-nucleotide small nuclear RNA is filed under the name Sander lucioperca (pikeperch). RNAcentral's name for it is "U2 spliceosomal RNA (ENSSLUG00000016294.1)". It matches the Rfam family "U2 spliceosomal RNA". Rfam says of the family: U2 is a small nuclear RNA (snRNA) component of the spliceosome (involved in pre-mRNA splicing). Complementary binding between U2 snRNA (in an area lying towards the 5' end but 3' to hairpin I) and the branchpoint sequence (BPS) of the intron results the bulging out of an unpaired adenosine, on the BPS, which initiates a nucleophilic attack at the intronic 5' splice site, thus starting the first of two transesterification reactions that mediate splicing. The record is from Rfam by way of RNAcentral. Lineage: Eukaryota; Metazoa; Chordata; Actinopteri; Perciformes; Percidae.
AUCGCUUCUCGGCCUUUUGGCUAAGAUCAAGUGUAGUAUCUGUUCUUAUCAGGGUUAGGGUCGUACGGAUUCCACAGACCUCACAGACCUCCC